GCCUGGCUGGCUCAUUGAGAAGAGCAUGAAACUCUUAAUCUCAGGGUCAUGAGUUCAAGCCCUAUGUUGGGUG
Molecule: transfer RNA, 73 nt
Filed under: Ailuropoda melanoleuca (giant panda)
Lineage: Eukaryota; Metazoa; Chordata; Mammalia; Carnivora; Ursidae
Rfam family: tRNA
About the family: Transfer RNA (tRNA) molecules are approximately 80 nucleotides in length. Their secondary structure includes four short double-helical elements and three loops (D, anti-codon, and T loops). Further hydrogen bonds mediate the characteristic L-shaped molecular structure. tRNAs have two regions of fundamental functional importance: the anti-codon, which is responsible for specific mRNA codon recognition, and the 3' end, to which the tRNAs corresponding amino acid is attached (by aminoacyl-tRNA synthetases). tRNAs cope with the degeneracy of the genetic code in two manners: having more than one tRNA (with a specific anti-codon) for a particular amino acid; and 'wobble' base-pairing, i.e. permitting non-standard base-pairing at the 3rd anti-codon position.
Source: Rfam by way of RNAcentral